RNAcentral lists this unclassified non-coding RNA (297 nucleotides) under Hevea brasiliensis (rubber tree). Lineage: Eukaryota; Viridiplantae; Streptophyta; Magnoliopsida; Malpighiales; Euphorbiaceae. The record is from RNAcentral.
GCUAUCUAACAUAGACCCAAUAUAGACCCUCGUACUUUAAGCGGAUUAAAGUAGGCGAGUAGCAUCACUACAUGUUUUGAGUUCACAGUGAACGAGUCUAAAACUCAAAUUUUCUGUAAAGGAAGCACAUGCUUACUUUACAAAAGGAAUCCCAAGUGUUGUGGUUAUACCCAUAGCCUUGACAAGUGCUUCACACUUUGGGAAAUAUUUUUAGUCCUUUAUGAUGAUCAGAUCCGAAUAUUAUUUUUGAGGAUAUAUAAGAAGUAAAGUUUCUCACAUGCUCAUCCACCACUAUAU